This is a long non-coding RNA of Peromyscus californicus insignis, 816 nucleotides long. RefSeq lists it as uncharacterized. The transcript is spliced from 3 exons. The record is from RefSeq and is a predicted model, not a curated record. Lineage: Eukaryota; Metazoa; Chordata; Mammalia; Rodentia; Cricetidae.
UCUACUGUUGCUGAUGAGAACUCUGGUAUCAUCUGAGUCUCCUUUGGUGAUUACCUGUGUUCUUUGGAGCUGAUAAGAUCUUUGAUUUUAUUCAGUGAGUUUAGAGAUGACUUCCACCCCCACGCCCAUUUAAUUCACCUCAGGAUUCAAGGAAAGAACACUGUUACCCUAAGUUAUUCUGUAAAGCCAUUAAAUUAUUAGCUCUCCCUCCCUCCCUCCCUGCUGAGCUUCCUUUCAUUCUAGCAGCACAGUACUUUCUUUCUUCCCUUCCUCACUUUCCUCCCCCUUUCCUCUCUUCUUCAUGUUUUUGAGAUAAGAGCUCAUUCUGUAGCCCCAUCCCACCCACUCUAUAGACCCAUUAUGGCUUCAAACACUCAGCAAUCCUCCUGCCUCACAGCCUCCUGAGUUCUGAGAUUACACGUAGGAGUCACCAUGCUCUUUCUUGGAACACGUGUUCAAAACGUGAACGUUGGGUUGGGCACACACCUGUCACCCCAGCACUCAGAGGCAAAGGCAGUAGGUUCAGCACGGAUUUGAGGCUAGCCUGGUCUGCUCACAUGGAGUGCCAGGGCUGCACAGGGAGACGCUGUCUCAGAAGAGUAACAACAGACUGUAAUUCCUGAAGAACUAGAAACCAUGAUCUCCAUGCACCGGAGCCAAGGUUCCAGCAAGGCCUUUUGAGCAAACAGCCCACCCUUUUCCUGAGAAACAGAAGGACCACCCCCCACCCCACCCCCCGUGGGACACCUUACACUGGAUGAUGAGUCUGCGGUGCUCAUCUCGAGAGUCCUCCAUGGUGUAGAGCGUCUGUUUGGU